This 228-nucleotide unclassified non-coding RNA is filed under the name Hevea brasiliensis (rubber tree). The record is from RNAcentral. Lineage: Eukaryota; Viridiplantae; Streptophyta; Magnoliopsida; Malpighiales; Euphorbiaceae.
GACAGAGACAGAAGAUAAAAGAAAAUGAAUGCUAAGUCACCCAAAAGCAGCAUGUCGCAUGAAUGAAUCAAACAUGGUUUUACUUGUAGGAAUGCCAACAUAGUUUCAGCAUACGAGUAGUACCCAUAAAGCAAGAAAAAAAAAAUGAAAAGAAACUUUACAACUUUACAAUCUAACGAAAAGAAUUUUCAUUUGUGCAAAUAGCAAUACGCACACGUUACUUUAGAC